UCGAACACGGUUGGGGUGUAGGUAUGAGUGCCGCCACUUGUUGUUGGAUGAUAGCAUCCAAUAUCAGUCGGAGGAGUUCAAAGUUUCCUAGCCCGCGGAUGGGCAAUCGAGCAGCUAAACAAGCAGUGCGAACGAACAACGGUUCAGGAGAGGGUUUGACAUCUUCUAACUUUAAGUAGCAACAGAGCAUUUUCGGACCCAAACCAGCCGGCGCACCGUAAAUAACUCACUGCAAUUGUGAUAACCGAGGUGAUAAGCAAUCUAUUUCAUUGGCGUGAAGAGAGAGAGACAAAUGAAGACGCACGCACGGCACGGAUCACGCUCCCGAAGGAUUGACACUGGCUGGCUCGAGAAAAUUGUCUGUUCUAAGCCAACUUCUUAUGGUCACUGUUUCCGUUUGUGAUUUUCUGAUCCGCUGGACUUUGAACCCGUUGAAGUGGUUAUCAGCGAAGGAACAAGUCGUGAUUAGACUGUUUGUGCCUCUAAACUGCUGCCAGUUACUUAACUAUGCUGCUCUUGGUCAAGGGGAAAGUGAGAAUCUUAGGACUACGUUUUUUCCUGUUGAUCUUCUUUGCACUUAAUUUAUAGCCGAAGGCGACAAACUUGUACGCAGUGCAUUGAAUUUGUUUAAAUUUAUUUACCCCUUGCAAUACAGUUACUAAAGACAUACAGAGUGUUUCCAGUUCAACACGAUGAAGAAAAUGUCAUUAUUAUCUGAACUAAUUUGAACUAAUGAUUGGAAUGAAAUUUGGCUGAUAUGGUGGGGAGCACGUGAGGAUUGAACGUGCGGCUGCAUUUGGUCAACGACAAACAGUUUAUUCUCAUGUACACAAACUAUAUUAAAACAAAUCAGGAGAUUUACUUUUCACCAAUUUCACCAAAAAAUUUCAGGGCUUAAUUUUAUCGAUUGCGAGAGAGCGACGACGAGCGCGUUCGUCUGCCCAAGUCAACCCCAGAGACGUACAAAUGUUCACGAAAGUUAUUUCUAAUUUAUAAAGC
Long non-coding RNA from Wyeomyia smithii (pitcher-plant mosquito), 999 nucleotides. RefSeq lists it as uncharacterized. The transcript is spliced from 3 exons. NCBI's taxonomy places the organism in Eukaryota, Metazoa, Arthropoda, Insecta, Diptera, Culicidae. The record is from RefSeq and is a predicted model, not a curated record.